This 74-nucleotide transfer RNA is filed under the name Elusimicrobia bacterium RIFOXYB2_FULL_48_7. RNAcentral describes it as "tRNA-Pro". It matches the Rfam family "tRNA". From Rfam's summary of the family: Transfer RNA (tRNA) molecules are approximately 80 nucleotides in length. Their secondary structure includes four short double-helical elements and three loops (D, anti-codon, and T loops). Further hydrogen bonds mediate the characteristic L-shaped molecular structure. tRNAs have two regions of fundamental functional importance: the anti-codon, which is responsible for specific mRNA codon recognition, and the 3' end, to which the tRNAs corresponding amino acid is attached (by aminoacyl-tRNA synthetases). tRNAs cope with the degeneracy of the genetic code in two manners: having more than one tRNA (with a specific anti-codon) for a particular amino acid; and 'wobble' base-pairing, i.e. permitting non-standard base-pairing at the 3rd anti-codon position. Lineage: Bacteria; Pseudomonadati; Elusimicrobiota. The record is from RNAcentral.
CGGGGCGUGGCUCAGUGGUUCAGAGCAUCCGGUUUGGGACCGGAGGGCCGGUGGUUCGAAUCCACUCGCCCCGA